RNAcentral lists this unclassified non-coding RNA (1801 nucleotides) under Rhopalosiphum maidis (corn leaf aphid). Its description in RNAcentral is "retinal dehydrogenase 2-like, transcript variant X3". The record is from RNAcentral. Lineage: Eukaryota; Metazoa; Arthropoda; Insecta; Hemiptera; Aphididae.
GGUAUAUUUAUUACAUUUACUUAAAAAUGGCAAAUCCAAAUGUUGAAAUUUUAUAUAAUCAGAUAUUUAUCAACAAUAAUUUUGUAAACUCAGUAAGUGGGAAAACAUUUCAGACUAUCAAUCCUGCAAAUAAAAACAAAAUUAUUGAUGUUGCCGAAGCAGAUAAAGAUGAUGUUGAUUUGGCAGUUAAUGCAGCAAAAACUGCAUUUCAGUCAGAUUCUGAGUGGCGUAAAAUGGACGCAUCUGCUCGAGGACAAUUGAUGUAUAAAUUAUCAGAAUUAAUUGAUAAACAUAAAAUUCAUUUGGCAAAUUUAGAGUCUUUAGAUAAUGGCAAACCGUUUAGCGACUCACUAUUGGAUAUACAAAUGGCUGUUUCAACUCUUCAAUAUUAUGCUGGAUUUGUUGAUAAAAUUCAUGGAAAGACUAUUCCAGCGGAUGGGCCAUAUUUUGCAUUCACUAAACGUCAACCUGUUGGAGUUGUUGGACAAAUUAUACCUUGGAAUUAUCCAAUUUUAAUGCUGGCAUGGAAAUGGGGACCAGCUCUUGCUACUGGGUGUACAAUUGUACUGAAACCAGCAGAACAAACUCCUCUCACUGCUCUACAUGUAGCUGCACUAUCAAAAGAAGCAGGAUUUCCUGAUGGAGUCAUUAACGUUGUACCUGGAUAUGGUCCGACUGCGGGUAAAGCUAUAGCUUGCCAUCAAGACAUAAAUAAAGUGGCAUUUACUGGAUCAACAGAAGUUGGAAAAUUAAUCAUGGAAGAAGCUGCCAAGUCAAAUUUAAAACGUGUAUCAUUAGAAUUAGGUGGUAAAAGUCCUUUAGUGAUAUUCGAUGAUUUUGAUGUUGACGAAGCUGCUAAGAUUGCUCAUGAUGCUAUAUUUGCCAACAUGGGUCAAAAUUGUUGUGCUGGUUCUAGAACAUUUGUUCAAGAAGGUAUCUAUGAAAAAUUUGUUGAAAAAGCUGCCUACUUAGCAUCCCAAAAGAAAGUUGGAGACCAAUUUGAUGUUGAUACACAAAUAGGACCUUUGGUGAACGAAGAGCAAUACAACAAAGUUUUGAGUAUGAUUGAAUCUGGUAAAGCGGAAGGAGCCAAAGUAGAAGCGGGUGGAUCAAAAGUAGGUGAUACUGGAUAUUUUGUGUAUCCCACUGUAUUCUCAAAUGUGACUGAUAAUAUGAAAAUUGCUAAAGAAGAAAUUUUUGGGCCAGUCCAGCAGAUUAUUAAAUUUAAAACUUUGGAUGAAGUGAUAAAACGUGCAAACGACACUAAAUAUGGAUUAGCUGCUGGAGUAUUAACUAACAAUUUAAAUUCUGCAAUGAAGUUUAUAGAUGAUGUUAAUGCUGGUUCAGUAUGGGUUAAUUGUUAUGAUGCUAUUAGUGUCCAAUGUCCAUUUGGAGGAUUUAAACAGUCCGGACAAGGAAGAGAAUUAGGAGAAGAUGGUCUAAAGGAAUACUUGGAAUUAAAAGCCGUCACAAUCAGAAAGAACAAUUUUUAAUACUAUUAAAAAGAGAACCGCACUGUUAUAUAAUAGAUGAUAAUAGAUGUACCUUGUCAUUGAGGAAUUGAAGAUAUAACACUUAAUAUGUCUGUAAAAUUUAAAUUCAAUAAUUUCAAUGGAUACGAUGAAUAAAGAUUCUAUGAGAAGACGUUCAAACAUUUUGGCAACCGAAUACCGGAGUACACAAUCCGCACCACGAGAAACUAUAACUAUCGUACAUUCAAAUAAUAGAAUUUGUCCCCACCAUGCAGUCGUUGCCAUAUGGCUGGUGGUGAGUAAUGACAUGUUUUGGUCGUCGGCUCUUU